UGCAUGAGGGCUGCUUUUCAUUUGGAUGCUUACUCUCUCUUUCCUCAGUGUGUGCAAGCUGUUAUCCCCCUGAUGGGGGUGUUCAAGUGUGCGACCUGUAUGUGCUUCCAUGGAGGCGGCCUCAGUGGGCAGUGCCUGCAGCCAGUAUCUGGCUGCUGGGCCCUUAGCAGUGGCAAGGAUCCAUGGGGAGGUAGAAGCACAGUGACUCUCAGGAAGGUGUGUGUGGAUGUGGGAGGGUGACCAGAGGCUUUGGCAGUGGCAACAGAGGGUGAGGGCAAUGGGUGGUGCUCAAUUGCAGGCCUUCUGUGGCGGCCCCCCUGAGGUGACUCUAGGGCCACAGGCAGUGCCUGUUCACAGGACCCUUAGUGGUGGUGUGGUGCCCCCACCUCAGGAGUCUGAGAUGUCUGUGGUGGUUCUGACCCACCUUUGUCGUCUGCACAAGAAACAUCCCCCCACCUGAGAGCCUGCACAGGGAAAGAAGUUGUUUCGGCAUCCUAGCCCCCUCCUUUCCCCCUCCCCAACAAGGGCGCCCAGGCCUCCUCCCGAGCUCCCUCGGUUGGGUGUGGGUGUGGGUGUGGGUGACACUCCCCUCCCCAGCCCCCGCAGGCUGUCUCCACACAGCCAGCCCUGGUCCUCUGCCAGCAACUCACCUCCAAAGCCCGAGUCUCAGCGCCCAGCCUGCGCCCAAGUGUCUGAGGCUGUGAAGCCCCAGGCAGUGGUGCCAGUGGUCUGUGCGGCUCUCUCUCUGCUUUGCCCUCCUCAGUCCGGCUCCCGCACUUUUCUCUGAGGCGCUGAGGUUCCCCUGCGUUCUGGCUGCUCUCCCCAUCAGUUGGGUGGCCUCCCAGGGUGCAGAUUCCUUUCCUCUUGCAUGGCUCCCUCUCAGGAGUGCUGGUCCUGUCCUGAUUCCUUUUUUCUCUUCUCUCUCUUUUCCCUUUUGUUCUAUCCAGUUAUGUGGAAGGUUUCUUACCCUUUGGGGAGGUCUGAGGUCUCCUGCCAGCAUUCAGUAGAGGUUCUGUGUGAAUCACCCUGCAUGUAGAUGGGAGCUUUUUAAGGUGUUUGCAGGAGAAGGUGAGCGUCCCGUCUUACUCCUCCACCAUCUCGAUCCCAUCCAAGCACUUCUUAUAAACUAACAGUGAAGAACUUCUGCCACUUGGUGCUUACUUGUUACGGGCAACACAGUCUCCCAAAGUAGGCUGCUUCAGAUCCAAGACAAAGGCGACGGGAAAGUUGAUCGUACUGGGCACAAUGCUGCCUGCCUGUGACUUCACUCUGUCUCAGAUCCAGAGUUUGGAAGGACACCGAAUAGGUUUCCUUUCUUUUCUACAGGGCAUCCUCGAGCACUUAAGGCGUCUCUCGGGCCCUCCGCCCCCUUCAAGGAUCUCCAGCCUCUUUACUAAAUAGCCCCUGUUCAGACUCUUCCUCGAAAGCCACAAGCAAACGGCGAGAAGGGAGAAGCUGCCACCCGCACCUGCACUACCAGCUCUGAAGGCCCUGAGAUGAAAUGUUUCUGGCACUGAUGUAUAACUCUGCUAGAUUGUAACUUCAUCACCAAGUUGUAACAGCCCACCUUUCAAAAGCUUCCCGGGGUUGCUCUGCUGCCCCCUUCUGGCCCUGGGAAGCACUCAGGGUGUUGAAGCUGGCGGUGGGGAUGCACUUUCCCCACACAGGGGAGUCGGAACCAGAGGGAACCCAUCCCUUCCAGGGAAGAACCAGGAGUUGCUGUCAUGCUUCAGGAGAGAUAUCGGAGGCGAGAAACAGAAAGGACGCAGGUGGCGGGGAGGAGGGACCCACAAGUGAAGAGAAGCCCGUGGAUGUAGACCUGGACCCCCUGACUUCACAGUGGCCGAGGUCUGCCCGGUUCUGGAUCUGGCUCUUUCAUCAUCUCAAAAGGCCCUGUGUCUUCCCAGCUGUGCAUCGGGGAAAGCCUCUUAACCGCUCUGAGCCUGGUUCCCUCCUCUGUGAAAUGAGGGGUGCUUCUCUCAGUCUGAUCAUGGCUAACAAGGACGCACCAGCAGGCUGCCUGGUAUUGAAGCCGGCCCCCAGAAUCCAGGCUGACGGAGGCCACCUGCAAGCGGAGAUGACAUGCACGGAGGCAGUUAAUUGGUGUCGCGUCAGUUCUGUCACAGCUUUCCUAAUAAAUUAUGAACAAAUUGUGUUUGCUUCCCAGAAAUUUGUCGGUGAGCAAGAACAAUGCCAGGAGGUGUGGAGAGGGCGUGUCAUUGGUGCAUUUCUAAAAUUGCCAGCAGUGGUGGCACAGUUCAUCUGGUUUGUCAAGAUCAAAACUGAGCGGAAGAUGCCAGAGGUGAGAUCGUCAGGAAGAGCGGGAACCAGAACAUCUUUCUGCAUAUUGUGGACUUGUCUGAUCCCAGGACCAUCUGGAAAUGUGUUGAAAAUUCCAAGUGAGAGCAUACCCUCAAUGUCCUGGUGUGUGUGUUCUCACAACUGCCCUGAUCCCCGGCUUGGAGAAAGAGCACGACCCCAGAGUGGACUGUUGGUUCAGAAACUGAAGACCAACGACCUGCAGUCGGAAAGGACAGCAUUCGAUGGCACCAUGGUCUAUGCACAAAACAAGUGGCAGCAGGUGGUUCUGACCAAGCUGUGGGCCCAAGCACACCUGCCAUCCGCUUCUCCUGCAUGCAUCCCGGCUGCAUCGACACCCCAGGAACUAAUGGGAGAUGUGGAAAUCGAGGUUGCUCAUCGCAGCACCGGGGCUCGGCGCCUGCGUUAAUAAACCACGGGCCUCCUGUGCGGGAAAUCUGCUUGGCCCUGAAACCCCUGCUGUGGAUGAGUGUCUACUGGGAAGGAAAACUGUCUUCACUGGGCCAUGAAACAGCAGCUCCCCCAGCUUUUACCUCUCGUGCUUCCUAGAGGACCAAGGGAGGAAAAAUAAAGAAGACAGGACCCUAAAUAGCAAGGGUUCUAAAUCUGUUCUUUCAGCCAACCUGAAGGUCAGAUGCACUUUUGGACUCACAAGGAUGAAUACCCUGAGGUACCUGUUUCUUUUUUGCUUUUUUUCUGUUGUUGCUUUUUAGGGCUGCACCCGCGGCAUAUGGAGGUUCCCAGGCUAGGGGUUGAAUCAGAGCUGCAGCUGCCAACCUACACCACAGCCACAGCAAUGCCAGGUCCGAGCCUCAUCUGUGACCUGGGCCUCCGCUUGUGGCAACGCCAGAUCCUUAACCCACUGAGUGACGCCAGAGGUUGAACCACAUCCUCAUGGAUACUAGUUGGGCUCUUAACCUGCUGAACCACAACGGGAACUCCUUGACGUACCUGUUUUUAAUGAGAGGUAUCAUGACUCACCUCUACCACCUUUUUCAAACCUCCUGGGCUUUAGAUGGGAAAUACAGGCAGCAACUUACUUGAUGUGACA
This is a non-coding RNA of Sus scrofa (pig), 3370 nucleotides long. The record is from RefSeq and is a predicted model, not a curated record. Lineage: Eukaryota; Metazoa; Chordata; Mammalia; Artiodactyla; Suidae.